Molecule: microRNA, 23 nt
Filed under: Ananas comosus (pineapple)
Lineage: Eukaryota; Viridiplantae; Streptophyta; Magnoliopsida; Poales; Bromeliaceae
Description: microRNA s0302_c101
Source: RNAcentral
ACUUCGUUUAUUCUAUUCAGAAA